AGGGAUGAGUGGGUAUUCCUACCUGAUCCGAGGUCAACCUUGAAAAUGAGGGUUAAGGCCGGGCCAUGAGACCACCAGAUGCGUGCUAUGAAAAGCUCAUUGCAUUUGGCACCAUCACGACACCGCUCAUUAUCUUUAGAACUACUGUCGUCAACUGACAGAGAGUCCAACAACAAGCCAGGCUUGAUGGUUGAUAAUGA
RNAcentral lists this unclassified non-coding RNA (200 nucleotides) under soil metagenome. RNAcentral's name for it is "partial internal transcribed spacer 2". The record is from RNAcentral.